This is a non-coding RNA of Anguilla anguilla (European eel), 1087 nucleotides long. The record is from the annotation of a RefSeq genome assembly. NCBI's taxonomy places the organism in Eukaryota, Metazoa, Chordata, Actinopteri, Anguilliformes, Anguillidae.
CCACAAAGAAUAAAUCAGUUUCCUAUCAUAUGGCUUUUAAACUGUUUAAUCAAGUUUGAGAACCCCUGACACAGGGUACAGUAGCUACAGAAAUGAACCAAAAAAUGAAAAAACAAGUCACUUAAACAAGUAGUCACUUAAUGGGGUUGUGGGCCACUGCCAUUUUCUAUGUGACUGGCUGAUCUUAUCCCUCAUUGAAAUCGAUGCUGCAGUGAUCACCAGUUGCUCCCGUGUUUUGCCUUGAAUGUUAAAUGGACAUCUUGGUCCCAAAGAAUGCACUUCUGCUGGCUGUUGUUGUUUGUGUCGUCCCUCAAGAAUUCUAUGCCGACACCAUCAGAACAUUGCUUACACAUGUUAAAUAUUUCAGUCCUCUUAGUUGCUAAAACAAAAUCUCACCAACACCAACACCAACACCACGCUGUGAAACAUGCAAAGCUAUCUUGAAAAUUAAAAAACAUAUUCCUAUGCAGAUGAAUCUGAUUUCAUAGGGACUACAUUUACAGGGUGCUAUAGAAAUGGUUUAAAACCAGAAAUUAGAAUUUAUAUAUGUAGUUUCAAAGUCUACCUGAAUUAUUUAAUGCACUUUAUUCACGGCUAAGCACACCCAGACAGGAAGUGAGUAGUGAACUGUAGUUCUGUUUCCCCCCCUUUAAAAAGAGUGGCAUUGAGUCUGUCUUUCAGUGUGCAGAGAAUGGAACUCAAACUUUUGUUGCCGUUACUUUUCAACCUGGCCUGUGUCCAGUGUCAGUCUCAACAGAAGGUCUCUCAGUGGCCCUCACAGACGGUCCUGACCCAGGGCUCCUCUGUGGAGCUCCAGUGCAGUCAGAGCGGCUCUGAUACCUACAUGUACUGGUACCGCCAGCAGAGCUCUACAGGGCUACAGCUCGUCAUAUUUUAUGCCUACCUGAGUGAGCCGGAGAGGGGAAAGGAGAUCAGCGGUAGAUUUACCAGCACCAGACCAAAGCUAGAAACCAUCACACUCGGUAUCAGUCAGGCUGAGGAGAGAGACACAGGUGUUUAUUUCUGUGCAGCGAGUCCCACAGCACGCAUCUCUGUCCCACCUCCUGUAUUAAAACACCACAGAUGA